RNAcentral lists this long non-coding RNA (606 nucleotides) under Helianthus annuus (common sunflower). RNAcentral's name for it is "hypothetical non coding rna". The record is from RNAcentral. Lineage: Eukaryota; Viridiplantae; Streptophyta; Magnoliopsida; Asterales; Asteraceae.
UUUAACCAAUUAACCUUGCUCUCUUUCCCUCUCUGACCUCCACCACCAUUACAACCAUUACCACUAACCACCAUUUUCGUCACACUACCACCGACCCCAAACAACCACCAUAAGAAAAUCAACCUCUUCACCACCGCCGUCAGAAACGACGCUGGCGACGGGAUUGGGUGGUCGGCGACGGGAUUUGAGUGCCAAUCCAUCGAAUCGAUCUCAUCCUCUACCUCUAGAUCCGAGUUAAGCACGUGAUAGGAUUUGAUGGUCGGCGGUCAUCUGAUCCAUAAUCAAGAGCAAACGAACAGAUCUGAUUAAGGAGAUUAUUAAGGAGUUUGAACUUGUUUGCAACAAAUUAAUUGAAACUUAACUUGUCGUGUCAUCGAUUGCAAAACAGGUGCAGAAAAUCAUCGGAGCGAAGAACGGGCUGGUGAAGACGGCAGAAAACGAUGUAACGGGUGGUGGGUGAUGUAAUGUUUAGAUCUGAGCUAUUGAGGAAAUUUAGUUGGUAUAAUGUUGAGUGAUUAAUUUGUUAUAUCUGAACAACAAAAUGAUGAGUAUUCCAAUUUUCACAAAGCACGACCAUAUGCUAAAUACUAAACAGAAACCCCUUUU